This is a non-coding RNA of Pelobates cultripes (western spadefoot toad), 752 nucleotides long. Lineage: Eukaryota; Metazoa; Chordata; Amphibia; Anura; Pelobatidae. The record is from the annotation of a GenBank genome assembly.
GCUGUACAAUGGGUGGACUAACAGACAUGUAUUUGUAACCAGACAAGUUGGACGCACAGGAACAGAGGGAUUGAGGGUCCUGCUCAGUGAGUUUACAUGUUAGAGGGAGUGGGGUAUAGUGACACAGUAACAGAGGGAUUGAGGGCCUGCUCAGUGAGUUUACAUGUUAGAGGGAGUGGGGUAUAGUGACACAGUAACAGAGGGAUUGAGGGCCUGCUCAGUGAGUUUACAUGUUAGAGGGAGUGGGGUAUAGUGACACAGUAACAGAGGGAUUGAGGGCCUGCUCAGUGAGUUUACAUGUUAGAGGGAGUGGGGUAUAGUGACACAGUAACAGAGGGAUUGAGGGCCCUGCUCAGUGAGUUUACAUGUUAGAGGGAGUGGGGUAUAGUGACACAGUAACAGAGGGAUUGAGGGCCCUGCUCAGUGAGUUUACAUGUUAGAGGGAGUGGGGUAUAGUGACACAGUAACAGAGGGAUUGAGGGCCUGCUCAGUGAGUUUACAUGUUAGAGGGAGUGGGGUAUAGUGACACAGUAACAGAGGGAUUGAGGGGCCUGCUCAGUGAGUUUACAUGUUAGAGGGAGUGGGGUAUAGUGACACAGUAACAGAGGGAUUGAGGGCCUGCUCAGUGAGUUUACAUGUUAGAGGGAGUGGGGUAUAGUGACACAGUAACAGAGGGAUUGAGGGCCCUGCUCAGUGAGUUUACAUGUUAGAGGGAGUGGGGUAUAGUGACAGUAACAGAGGGAUUGAGGGCC